RNAcentral lists this long non-coding RNA (1018 nucleotides) under Cyanistes caeruleus (blue tit). RNAcentral describes it as "lncRNA (ENSCCEG00000014867.1)". The record is from RNAcentral. Lineage: Eukaryota; Metazoa; Chordata; Aves; Passeriformes; Paridae.
GUAUUCUGACUGAUAUUUGAAAAAAAAUGAAAAGUCUGUGUUUUGUUUUUUUUAAUUUUUUGAGACAUCUCUAGAAUCUGAAGUACAUUUUGGAGCUUGAGAGGUACCUGAAAUGCAAUGGGUGUAAGAAGAAUUACUGAGUUCUCAGCAUUUGUCCUGUCUCAGGGAAAAUAUAAGGAAAGAACAGCAAAAAGGAAUAUGACAAAGAUGACAUCUUGGCAAACUCACCAAACUUAUUAUCUACAGUAAAAACCAGGAAUAUCAACCAGGUAACCUUCCUUAACUCUUUGUUAAAUUGCUAGAAGGAUUUGUGCGCACACCCGCUGUCAGCUCAGUGUUAACUUACCCUCUCAGCAUAAACUGCUUGGAGAGCGAUGUGAGCAGGCUGGGCACUGCCAAGUUCAUGCAAGCUGCUCUGGAAAUUCAGCUGAGGCAAAUAAUGAGCACCUGAUUUAUGGGUGAGAAGGUCUUCAAUGUUUCAGCUCUUUCUAAAGCACUCUCUGAUUGUGUUCUAAUGGGCAAUUUUGGUAGCUCACAUUUUUGCACACACAAGUCACAUUAAUUUUUAGAAGUAUCUGACCACUGGGAUUUUUUUUUUUUUUUUUUUUUGUGGGAGCAGUUCAGAGGGCUUUUCUGGUUCUUGUUUUUCUUUUGGUUUAUCUUGAAUUCCUUUAUUUACUUCAAGGGUGUAGGUUCUUUUUUAUAUAUAUAUAUAUACUUAGGGAACUGUUGUUAUUAUCUGCCAAACAUCUCAGAAAAUUAAGGAAGUUUGAAGAUUUCAAAGGAGAAGUGCCUUAAACCAGCUGCCACUUUGCUCAUUUCAACCUUUGACACUAUGAGGAGUUUCAAGGACUUGUCUUCUGAAAGUGUUUACCUUGUGAGGUGGCUUCCUGGGAACGGUAAGUUCACAUUGCUCAUAUAUUCUUAAGGGGAAACUUUUGACCUUGGAUUACUUCAAAGAUCUGCCAGAUUCUCUCUCUCUCCCCCCCAUUCCCACCCCCCCAUUUAGUCAGCUCUU